GAAUGAUUCUCUCCUCCCACUGGAUGGUUGAUUUUCAGUCGGGUGUGUAUUCCUGCUUCCUGGGUGAACAUUCAUAAAAAUAGGGUUGUUGGGAGAGCAUGCGUUCCGAUCCCGCCCGCGCGCGCCCGGGCGGUUCGGCGCCCGCGUGCGGGUAACCACACUCCGAUGUAAGGACGUCUCUUUCGAGUGGUACAAGCAAAUAAUCAAAACUUUUAACAACGGAUCUCUUGGUUCUGGCAUCGAUGAAGAACGCAGCGAAAUGCGAUAAGUAAUGUGAAUUGCAGAAUUCAGUGAAUCAUUGAAUCUUUGAACGCACAUUGCGCCCGCCAGCAUUCUGGCGGGCAUGCCUGUUCGAGCGUCAUUUCAACCCUCAAGCUCUGCUUGGUGUUGGGGCCCUACAGCUGAUGUAGGCCCUCAAAGGUAGUGGCGGACCCUCCCGGAGCCUCCUUUGCGUAGUAACUUUACGUCUCGCACUGGGAUCCGGAGGGACUCUUGCCGUAAAACCCCCAAUUCUCUCAUAUAGGUUGACGUCGGAUCAGGUAGGAAUGUGCGCGCAGAAGUAGG
RNAcentral lists this ribosomal RNA (564 nucleotides) under Colletotrichum gloeosporioides. Its description in RNAcentral is "eukaryotic LSU rRNA". The stretch from base 208 to 361 matches the Rfam family "5.8S ribosomal RNA". Lineage: Eukaryota; Fungi; Ascomycota; Sordariomycetes; Glomerellales; Glomerellaceae. The record is from RNAcentral.